CACAGAUCUUUAAAUGUAGAGAGCUCAAAUGAAUUGCAAAAACAGUACUCAUAUUAUAAACUCUUUAAACAAAUUACCCCUAAUAUGUUUAAUCAGGUUUAAUUGACUUAACAACACGUGAAUCAACACUGGCCGGUUUCUAAACACUCAAGAAUAGAAUCGUAAUGAUCUCUCUCUCACGCAAAUUUUUCUUUCUUCAAAAGCUCAACUCGCUUGAACACUCAUCCCAUUCGGUGAUCUGAUCUUCUUGUUAGAGAUAAUCUCAAAUCUUCAACUCUAAUCCUAGAAUCCCUCGAUUCAAUGUUUAUCCUCAAAAGUGAGAAGUCUUCAUUUGCCACGUCAUCUCCUAGGUUUGAAUGACUCCCGC
Molecule: long non-coding RNA, 367 nt
Filed under: Brassica napus (rape)
Lineage: Eukaryota; Viridiplantae; Streptophyta; Magnoliopsida; Brassicales; Brassicaceae
Description: long non-coding RNA (BNAP_LNC026139)
Source: RNAcentral